This 479-nucleotide long non-coding RNA is filed under the name Felis catus (domestic cat). RNAcentral describes it as "lncRNA (ENSFCAG00000043603.2)". The record is from RNAcentral. Lineage: Eukaryota; Metazoa; Chordata; Mammalia; Carnivora; Felidae.
AAGUCUUAUGCUGUGUGUUAAGGCAGUUAACUUCAUCAAGAAGAAACGAAAGACCAGCCUUGACUUUUUUCUUUCCAGUUGCAGAAAUUGCUUGAUCAGAUGCUGUGUCUAUACCACCCACAAGCGCCACCUUCGGGUAGUUUCUCAGUACGGUUGCAGAAAUUUGGGGCCAUCUGGACUUUGCAUUAUACUGGCUUUUGUGCUGAAGAUGGUGUCCACAUUCCCAGAGAAUCCUGCUUUCUUAGAAGUCCCAAGACACUUUUCCCUCCGUGCUGGUGAGAAUAGAAAUUAGAAUUCGUGGUUUAGGUGGGUGGAUCCUAGCCCUGCAUGCAUAUCAGAGCUACUGGGGAGCUUUGUGAAACUACAGAGGCCUACAACUCACCCCCAGAGAGGCUGAUCUAACUAGAGUAGAUGGUUCUAAUAUGCAGGCAUUAGGCCACUGGCUUAGUCUAAUAAAGAUUUCCUUACCUGGGCUGGCA